GCCUGAAUGGCUCAGUUGGUUAAGCAUAUGACUUCAGCUCAGGUCAUGAUCUCACAGUUCGUGGGUUUGAGUCCCGCGUCGGGCU
RNAcentral lists this transfer RNA (85 nucleotides) under Felis catus (domestic cat). It matches the Rfam family "tRNA". Rfam says of the family: Transfer RNA (tRNA) molecules are approximately 80 nucleotides in length. The record is from Rfam by way of RNAcentral. Lineage: Eukaryota; Metazoa; Chordata; Mammalia; Carnivora; Felidae.